UGAUUAUGGCUCAGGACGAACGUUGGCGGCGUGCCUAAUACAUGCAAGUCAACUGAAGCAAGGUAGCAAUAUCUUGUGGAGGUGGCGCACGGGUGAGUAACACGUAGGUAAUCUGCCUUCAGGUCUGACAUAACUCCGGGAAACCGGAGCUAAUAGCAGAUGAUGCAGCGGCUUGACAUCAAGACAGUUGUUAAAGCUUCGGCGCCUGAAGAUGAGCCUGCGUCUGAUUAGCUAGUUGGCGGAGUAAUAGCCCACCAAGGCGACGAUCAGUAACUGGUCUGAGAGGAUGAUCAGUCACACUGGAACUGAGACACGGUCCAGACUCCUACGGGAGGCAGCAGUAAGGAAUAUUGCUCAAUGGGGGAAACCCUGAAGCAGCAACGCCGCGUGAGGGAUGAAGGGCUUUUGCUUGUAAACCUCUGUAGUGAGGGAAAAAAUUUCCACUCUGUGGAAUAUGAUGGUACCUCAAAAGUAAGCCCCGGCUAACUACGUGCCAGCAGCCGCGGUAAUACGUAGGGGGCAAACGUUGUCCGGAUUUACUGGGUGUAAAGGGUGCUCAGGCGGUUUUGUAAGUCAGAAGUGAAAUCCUAGGGCUUAACUCUGGAACUGCUUUUGAUACUGCAAGGCUUGAAUGUGGAAGAGGAGGAUGGAAUUUCUGGUGUAGCAGUGAAAUGCGUAGAUAUCAGAAAGAACACCAGUGGCGAAGGCGGUCCUCUGGUCCACUAUUGACGCUAAAGCACGAAAGCGUGGGGAGCAAACAGGAUUAGAUACCCUGGUAGUCCACGCCUUAAACGAUGAAUACUAGACGUUGGGGUUAAACUCAGUGUCGCAGCUAACGCAUUAAGUAUUCCACCUGGGGAGUACGAUCGCAAGGUUGAAACUCAAAUGAAUUGACGG
Molecule: ribosomal RNA, 897 nt
Filed under: uncultured bacterium
Lineage: Bacteria
Description: bacterial SSU rRNA
Rfam family: Bacterial small subunit ribosomal RNA
Source: RNAcentral